This 465-nucleotide ribosomal RNA is filed under the name uncultured bacterium. Its description in RNAcentral is "partial 16S ribosomal RNA". It matches the Rfam family "Bacterial small subunit ribosomal RNA", at positions 338 to 795 of the family's 1533-position model. The record is from RNAcentral.
CCUACGGGAGGCAGCAGUAGGGAAUCUUCCACAAUGGGCGAAAGCCUUAUUUAUCAACUCCUCUUUUUUUAAUAAUUUCUUCUUAUCUUAAAACCCUUUUUUUAGAUAAUAAAGUGCGUGAGAGUAACUGUUCACGUUUCGACGGUAUCUAACCAGAAAGCCACGGCUAACUACGUGCCAGCAGCCGCGGUAAUACGUAGGUGGCAAGCGUUAUCCGGAUUUAUUGGGCGUAAGGGGAACGCAGGCGGUCUUUUAAGUCUGAUGUGAAAGCCUUCGGCUUAACCGGAGUAGUGCAUUGGAAACUGGGAGACUUGAGUGCAGAAGAGGAGAGUGGAACUCCAUGUGUAGCGGUGAAAUGCGUAGAUAUAUGGAAGAACACCAGUGGCGAAAGCGGCUCUCUGGUCUGUAACUGACGCUGAGGUUCGAAAGCGUGGGUAGCAAACAGGAUUAGAUACCCGGGUAGUC